RNAcentral lists this ribosomal RNA (492 nucleotides) under uncultured bacterium. RNAcentral's name for it is "partial 16S ribosomal RNA". It matches the Rfam family "Bacterial small subunit ribosomal RNA", at positions 29 to 507 of the family's 1533-position model. The record is from RNAcentral.
AGUGAACGCUGGCGGUAGGCCUAACACAUGCAAGUCGAGCGGCAGCACAGUAAGAGCUUGCCCUUACGGGUGGCGAGUGGCGGACGGGUGAGGAGUACAUCGGAAUCUACUUUUUCGUGGGGGAUAACGUAGGGACACUUACGCUAAUACCGCAUACGACCUACCGGUGAAGGCAAGGGAUCUUCGCACCUUGCGCGAUUCAAUGAGCCGAUGUCGGAUUAGCUAGUUGGCGGGGUAAAGGCCCACCAAGGCGACGAUCCGUAGCUGGUCUGAGAGGAUGAUCAGCCACACUGGAACUGAGAAACGGUCCAGACUCCUAAGGGAGGCAGCAGUGGGGAAUAUUGGACAAUGGGGGGAAGCCUGGUCCAGCCAUCCCGGGUGGGUGAAGAAGGCCUUCGGGUUGUAAAGCCCUUUUGUUGGGAAAGAAAAGCAGCAGGUUAAUACCCCGCUGUUCUGACGGUACCCAAAGAAUAAGCACCGGCUAACUUCGUU